Molecule: ribosomal RNA, 433 nt
Filed under: uncultured bacterium
Lineage: Bacteria
Description: partial 16S ribosomal RNA
Rfam family: Bacterial small subunit ribosomal RNA
Source: RNAcentral
AACGAACGCUGGCGGCAUGCCUAACACAUGCAAGUCGAACGAGACCUUCGGGUCUACUGGUGCACGCGUGCGUAACGCGUGGGAACCUGCCCUUAGAUUCGGAAUAACUCCCCGAAAGGGGUGCUAAUACCGGCUAAUGUCCCCGGACCAAAGAUUUAUCGCCUUUGGAUGGGCCGGCGUUGGAUUAGCUAGUUGGUAGGGUAAAAGCCUACCAAGGCGACGAUCCAUAGCUGGGUUGAGAGGAUGAUCAGCCACACUGGGACUGAGACACGGCCCAGACUACUACGGGAGGCAGCAGUGGGGAAUAUUGGACAAUGGGCGAAGGCCUGAUCCAGCAAUGCCGCGUGAGUGAUGAAGGCCUUAGGGUUGUAAAGCUCGUUUACCCGGGAUGAUAAUGACAGUACCGGGAGAAUAAGCUCCGGCUAACUCCGUG